RNAcentral lists this ribosomal RNA (49 nucleotides) under uncultured bacterium. RNAcentral describes it as "partial 16S ribosomal RNA". The record is from RNAcentral.
AGCAUGUAUUACCGCGGCUGCUGGCCAAUGGUGAGCAUGUAUUACCGCG